CUCGAGAGCUGCAACAACAAGAGACAAUGCUCCAAACACCAAGAAGUAGAAAAUCUCCAUUGAAGCACAAUGAGAGAAAGAGAUAGGAAAAGAAAAGCUCAUCAUUGUUCAUGUCCUCUAGACUCUUCUUAGUGGUGGGUAUGAUAAUAGACAGCAAUUUGCAUGAACACUAUGUAUCAAUUAGAAUAUGCAUUUUAGACAUUACCAUGUCCUCUAUUUCUGAAAACUGAAAUCCUGUUAGACAGCAGAGGAAAUAUCACAAGACAAAGAAGGCUGUAGGGAUAGCCAUCAUUCCAAGAUAGUAUUGGGAUCACCCCUUUCUAUUUUGUUUUGUUUCAUUUAUUUGUCAUUUUACUAGAUUUUUUUUUAGCUACAGCAGAAUAGAAUUUUGCUAGAGUUUAUUAUCACUAUCACACCACUAGGAAAACUUUUUCCGUCUCAGUUCCUUGUCCCAACUCCCAACUAUAAGAUUACUAUGUGCCAUUGAGCCACCUGAAAUUGUUUACCAACAGACAUGCAAACAAUUGUUACUCCAUUCAAAGCAAAAGUCUCAGUCUGCUUAUUUACAGUUAAAUUAAAUGCUGAUAUAAGUUAGAGAAUUCCACGUAUGAAAAGGGAAUUCAAGUAUAAAAUUAUAUUACAUAUAAGAGUGAUGGUAGAAUACACACCUCGCUAGGCUUACCCCACAAUCUACGUAAAUAGAAAUCUGACUCAGCCGCAAUUAUUCCUGGC
RNAcentral lists this unclassified non-coding RNA (732 nucleotides) under Hevea brasiliensis (rubber tree). The record is from RNAcentral. Lineage: Eukaryota; Viridiplantae; Streptophyta; Magnoliopsida; Malpighiales; Euphorbiaceae.